AAGUCGUAACAAGGUCUCCGUAGGUGAACCUGCGGAGGGAUCAUUACCGAGUGCGGGCCCUCGCGCCCAACCUCCCAACCCUUUGUCGAUUCAUAUCUGUUGCCUCGGGGGCGACCCGGACGUCACGUCCGGGAGUCCCCCAGAGGUCCAACCCAACACACUGCGUCUUUGCGUCGGAGUAUUGAAAACAGUCAAUCAAAA
This 201-nucleotide unclassified non-coding RNA is filed under the name plant metagenome. RNAcentral's name for it is "partial contains small subunit ribosomal RNA and internal transcribed spacer 1". The stretch from base 1 to 46 matches the Rfam family "Eukaryotic small subunit ribosomal RNA", at positions 1786 to 1831 of the family's 1831-position model. The record is from RNAcentral.